UAGGGAAUCUUCCGCAAUGGGCGAAAGCCUGACGGAGCAACGCCGCGUGAGUGAUGAAGGUCUUCGGAUCGUAAAACUCUGUUAUUAGGGAAGAACAAAUGUGUAAGUAACUAUGCACGUCUUGACGGUACCUAAUCAGAAAGCCACGGCUAACUACGUGCCAGCCGCCGCGGUAAUACGUAGGUGGCAAGCGUUAUCCGGUAUUAUUGGGCGUAAAGCGCGCGUAGGCGGUUUUUUAAGUCUGAUGUGAAAGCCCACGGCUCAACCGUGGAGGGUCAUUGGAAACUGGAAAACUUGAAUGCAGAAGAGGAAAGUGGAAUUCCAUGUGUAGCGGUGAAAUGCGGAGAGAUAUGGAGGAACACCAGUGGCGAAGGCGACUUUCUGGUCUGUAACUGACGCUGAUGUGCGAAAGCGUGGGGAUCAAACAGG
RNAcentral lists this ribosomal RNA (429 nucleotides) under Actinomycetes bacterium. RNAcentral's name for it is "Actinobacteria bacterium partial 16S ribosomal RNA". It matches the Rfam family "Bacterial small subunit ribosomal RNA", at positions 355 to 776 of the family's 1533-position model. Lineage: Bacteria; Bacillati; Actinomycetota; Actinomycetes. The record is from RNAcentral.